CCUACGGGAGGCAGCAGUGGGGAAUAUUGCACAAUGGGGGAAACCCUGAUGCAGCGACGCCGCGUGAGUGAAGAAGUAUUUCGGUAUGUAAAGCUCUAUCAGCAGGGAAGAAAAAGACGGUACCUGACUAAGAAACCCCGGCUAACUACGGUCCAGCAGCCGCGGUAAUACGUAGGGGGCAAUCUGUAUCCGGAUUGACUGGGGGGAAAGGGAGCGGUGACGGCCAGACAAGUCAGAAGUGAAAGGCCAGGGCUCAACCCUGGGACUGCUUUUGAAACUGCCGGGCUGGAGUGCAGGAGAGGUAAGCGGAAUUCCUAGUGUAGCGGUGAAAUGCGUAGAUAUUAGGAGGAACACCAGUGGCGAAAGCGGCUUACUGGACUGUAACUGACGUUGAGGCUCGAAAGCGUGGGGAGCAAACAGGAUUAGAUACCCGGGUAGUC
RNAcentral lists this ribosomal RNA (440 nucleotides) under uncultured bacterium. RNAcentral describes it as "partial 16S ribosomal RNA". It matches the Rfam family "Bacterial small subunit ribosomal RNA", at positions 338 to 795 of the family's 1533-position model. The record is from RNAcentral.